RNAcentral lists this ribosomal RNA (466 nucleotides) under uncultured bacterium. Its description in RNAcentral is "partial 16S ribosomal RNA". It matches the Rfam family "Bacterial small subunit ribosomal RNA", at positions 28 to 507 of the family's 1533-position model. The record is from RNAcentral.
GAUGAACGCUGGCGGCGUGCUUAACACAUGCAAGUCGAACAGAAAGGCUCCUGCUUGCAGGGGUACUCGAGUGGCGAACGGGUGAGUAACACGUGGGUGAUCUGCCCUGCACUUCGGGAUAAGCCUGGGAAACUGGGUCUAAUACCGGAUAGGACGAUGGUUUGGAUGCCAUUGUGGAAAGUUUUUUCGGUGUGGGAUGAGCUCGCGGCCUAUCAGCUUGUUGGUGGGGUAAUGGCCUACCAAGGCGUCGACGAGUAGCCGGCCUGAGAGGGUGUACGGCCACAUUGGGACUGAGAUACGGCCCAGACUCCUACGGGAGGCAGCAGUGGGGAAUAUUGCACAAUGGGCGCAAGCCUGAUGCAGCGACGCCGCGUGGGGGAUGACGGCCUUCGGGUUGUAAACUCCUUUCGCUAGGGACGAAGCGCAAGUGACGGUACCUGGAGAAGAAGCACCGGCUAACUACGUG